RNAcentral lists this ribosomal RNA (500 nucleotides) under uncultured bacterium. RNAcentral's name for it is "partial 16S ribosomal RNA". It matches the Rfam family "Bacterial small subunit ribosomal RNA", at positions 30 to 523 of the family's 1533-position model. The record is from RNAcentral.
AUUGAACGCUGGCGGCAUGCCUUACACAUGCAAGUCGAACGGCAGCACGGGAGCAAUCCUGGUGGCGAGUGGCGAACGGGUGAGUAAAGUAUCGGAACGUGCCCAGUCGUGGGGGAUAACGUAGCGAAAGUUACGCUAAUACCGCAUACGAUCUAUGGAUGAAAGCGGGGGAUCGCAAGACCUCGCGCGAUUGGAGCGGCCGAUAUCAGAUUAGGUAGUUGGUGGGGUAAAGGCUCACCAAGCCUGCGAUCUGUAGCUGGUCUGAGAGGACGACCAGCCACACGGGGACUGAGACACGGCCAAGACUCCUACGGGAGGAAGCAGUGGGGAAUUUUGGACAAUGGGCGCAAGCCUGAUCCAGCCAUGCCGCGUGCAGGAUGAAGGCCUUCGGGUUGUAAACUGCUUUUGUACGGAACGAAAAGAUUCUCUCGAAUAAAGAGGGUCCAUGACGGUACCGUAAGAAUAAGCACCGGCUAACUACGUGCCAGCAGCCGCAGUAA